CCGACUUUUUAGUUUCCUUUUCCUUAAUUUAUUUCUCUAGUUAGAUUUGGUCGAGAACAAGAGGGGAAUCGAGGGAAACGAAGGAGGAAGAGUCAGGAUAUAGAGACCGAAGAGACUGAAGCCUUGCAUCCAGAAGGCUCAACUCGUUGAGUUAUCUUUGGGGAUCUUGAUAAGCUUCUCGCUAUACAAGAGAAUCUCUUUUGAUAUCGGGGAUCAGCUUGAACAACUAUGUAGAGAACCUUGGUGAUCUUGUAGGUUCCCAAAUAAGAUGACUAUGUUACGACCCGAGAUAUUUUGUUUAGCUCUCUUUCUGUUAGUGCGAGGAAUUUAUGACAAAAUUUUUUGAGAGGUUAGGGUUGUUGAGAUGUUUUAUAUGAUAUUAAUUAAUAAAGAAGCUUCUUGAGUUGAUUGAACA
Molecule: non-coding RNA, 415 nt
Organism: Punica granatum (pomegranate)
Lineage: Eukaryota; Viridiplantae; Streptophyta; Magnoliopsida; Myrtales; Lythraceae
Source: RefSeq, a predicted model, not a curated record